Oncorhynchus keta (chum salmon) is the source of this 151-nucleotide long non-coding RNA. RefSeq lists it as uncharacterized. NCBI's taxonomy places the organism in Eukaryota, Metazoa, Chordata, Actinopteri, Salmoniformes, Salmonidae. The transcript is spliced from 3 exons. The record is from RefSeq and is a predicted model, not a curated record.
AGGGUCAGCUGUCUAGACAGGUGUCUGGUACAGGGUCAGCUGUCUAGACAGGUGUCUGGUACAGGGUCAGCUGUCUAGACAGGUGUCUGGUGAACUGGGUCAGCUGUCUAGACAGGUGUCUGGUACAGGGUCAGCUGUCUAGACAGGUGUC